Molecule: transfer RNA, 72 nt
Filed under: Mus musculus (house mouse)
Lineage: Eukaryota; Metazoa; Chordata; Mammalia; Rodentia; Muridae
Description: tRNA-Ala
Source: RNAcentral
AAAGGUAUAGCUCAGUGGUCAGGGUACUUGCCUAGCACGCAUGAAGGCCUUGGUUGAUUCCUAGCACCCCAA